CUUGCACCGAGCGGAUGAGUUGCGAACGGGUGAGUAACGCGUAGGUAACCUGCCUCUUAGCGGGGGAUAACUAUUGGAAACGAUAGCUAAUACCGCAUAAAAGUCGACAUUGCAUGAUGUUGAUUUGAAAGGUGCAAUUGCAUCACUAAGAGAUGGACCUGCGUUGUAUUAGCUAGUUGGUGAGGUAACGGCUCACCAAGGCGACGAUACAUAGCCGACCUGAGAGGGUGAUCGGCCACACUGGGACUGAGACACGGCCCAGACUCCUACGGGAGGCAGCAGUAGGGAAUCUUCGGCAAUGGGGGCAACCCUGACCGAGCAACGCCGCGUGAGUGAAGAAGGUUUUCGGAUCGUAAAGCUCUGUUGUAAGAGAAGAACGAGUGUGAGAGUGGAAAGUUCACACUGUGACGGUAACUUACCAGAAAGGGACGGCUAACUACGUGCCAGCAGCCGCGGUAAUACGUAGGUCCCGAGCGUUAUCCGGAUUUAUUGGGCGUAAAGCGAGCGCAGGCGGUUAGAUAAGUCUGAAGUUAAAGGCUGUGGCUUAACCAUAGUACGCUUUGGAAACUGUUUAACUUGAGUGCAGAAGGGGAGAGUGGAAUUCCAUGUGUAGCGGUGAAAUGCGUAGAUAUAUGGAGGAACGCCGGUGGCGA
Molecule: ribosomal RNA, 653 nt
Filed under: uncultured Bacilli bacterium
Lineage: Bacteria; Bacillati; Bacillota; Bacilli
Description: bacterial SSU rRNA
Rfam family: Bacterial small subunit ribosomal RNA
Source: RNAcentral